Suricata suricatta (meerkat) is the source of this 988-nucleotide long non-coding RNA. RefSeq lists it as uncharacterized. The transcript has 2 exons. Lineage: Eukaryota; Metazoa; Chordata; Mammalia; Carnivora; Herpestidae. The record is from RefSeq and is a predicted model, not a curated record.
CCCUCCGGCACCGCGGUCCCCACGGCCUGGGCCCAGGGGGCGACCGGCGCUGGGGGACACGGACACGCGGGCUCGUCCGCUCCGGCCGCAGAGGCCGAGCCACACAGACACCGGAACCGGAAGCGAGUCCUGCCCCAGCGUGACGGCACCGUGACGUGGGCUUUGCUGGAAGUUCUCGGGGCUGGAAGCACGUCGGGUCCCGACACAGCAAACCAGCGCCCUCCGCCUGCACGGGCCGUCGGCUGCCUGGGCGCAGAAACCGGCACAAACCAGAAGCCCUCCCACAAACCUGCCCCCCUGCAGCUUUGAGUCCGCCCGCCUCACUCUGCCCUGCAGCUCAGCCCAGGCGAGAGCCUUCACGCCGGGAGGCAGCUGCAGCCGGAGGGGAGAAAAGGAGAGGGGCCACCCACUGUCCCAAUGUCCCUGGCACACAGGUGCUCAUGUCCCCACAGGCCACAGCGGCGACCAGAGGGUGCCCUCAGUGCCAGGAGGUGCCGGAGCGCACGCGGGGGCAGAGCAGGGCUGGAGCGUGGGUGACAUCUCAAGUCGUGUCACCGCUGGCGGUGUGGCCAGGGUGACCGAGGAUCCCGUCACGGCUCGUCGGUGCCGGGCCAGCGGCUCAGCAAGCACAGUGAGGGGGGAGGAGAGCCAGCUGCCUCAGCCUGCACGACCCCGUGCGGUGGAAACCCCCCCCCCCCCGCCCCCCGCACCAGCCCUCCGGGCACCGGGACACUCGGUCAUGUGACAGGGGACAGCAUCAACGUGGAGAAACCCAGAGCCGCUGUGGGUGCAAACCACACGCCUCCAUGUGGUAGGACACCCAUGGAAAAUAGUAACAGAGGAAAAGAUGAAGCAGGUCGGAGUGACUCAGAAAUGUGUAAGAUCUACCCGGAAACGGCAAACCUUCCUACAUCAGUCAGUAAAUGUAAGAAAAGUUCUCUUGUAAGAUAUCACACAGCUUUUGAUCAGAACCAGUCAGAUCCUAAAA